UACGGAGGGUGCAAGCGUUAUCCGGAUUCACUGGGUUUAAAGGGUGCGUAGGAGGGCAGGUAAGUCAGUGGUGAAAUCCCCGAGCUUAACUUGGGAACUGCCGUUGAUACUAUCUGUCUUGAAUGUUGUGGAGGUAAGCGGAAUAUGUCAUGUAGCGGUGAAAUGCUUAGAUAUGACAUAGAACACCAAUUGCGAAGGCAGCUUGCUACACAAUUAUUGACUCUGAUGCACGAAAGCGUGGGGAUCAAACAGG
RNAcentral lists this ribosomal RNA (253 nucleotides) under uncultured bacterium. RNAcentral's name for it is "partial 16S ribosomal RNA". It matches the Rfam family "Bacterial small subunit ribosomal RNA", at positions 524 to 776 of the family's 1533-position model. RNAcentral also lists the same sequence under 1 other name. The record is from RNAcentral.